UUGAUUUUAAUACAUAAUAUAAUUUUUUGCAAAAAAAUUAUAGUAUUAUAAUUAAU
Molecule: transfer RNA, 56 nt
Filed under: Didemnum vexillum
Lineage: Eukaryota; Metazoa; Chordata; Ascidiacea; Aplousobranchia; Didemnidae
Description: tRNA-Cys
Source: RNAcentral